GGGGAUAUAGCUCAGCUGGGAGAGCAGCAGACUGAAGUCAAGAAGUUUCUUUCUUAUGUUGUUCUGAAGGUCCCGCCUUCGAUCCGCGGUAUCCCCG
Marasmius sp. AFHP31 is the source of this 97-nucleotide non-coding RNA. The record is from the annotation of a GenBank genome assembly. NCBI's taxonomy places the organism in Eukaryota, Fungi, Basidiomycota, Agaricomycetes, Agaricales, Marasmiaceae.